RNAcentral lists this ribosomal RNA (1649 nucleotides) under Citrobacter sp. KTE32. RNAcentral's name for it is "bacterial LSU rRNA". It matches the Rfam family "Bacterial large subunit ribosomal RNA", at positions 1301 to 2925 of the family's 2925-position model. Lineage: Bacteria; Pseudomonadati; Pseudomonadota; Gammaproteobacteria; Enterobacterales; Enterobacteriaceae. The record is from RNAcentral.
CAUAAGUAACGAUAAUGCGGGUGAAAAACCCGCACGCCGGAAGACCAAGGGUUCCUGUCCAACGUUAAUCGGGGCAGGGUGAGUCGACCCCUAAGGCGAGGCCGAAAGGCGUAGUCGAUGGGAAACAGGUUAAUAUUCCUGUACUUGGUGUUACUGCGAAGGGGGGACGGAGAAGGCUAUGUUAGCCGGGCGACGGUUGUCCCGGUUUAAGCAUGUAGGCGGAGAUUCCAGGUAAAUCCGGAGUCUUGUUAACGCUGAGGUGUGAUGACGAGGCACUACGGUGCUGAAGUAACAAAUGCCCUGCUUCCAGGAAAAGCCUCUAAGCAUCAGGUAACACAAAAUCGUACCCCAAACCGACACAGGUGGUCAGGUAGAGAAUACCAAGGCGCUUGAGAGAACUCGGGUGAAGGAACUAGGCAAAAUGGUGCCGUAACUUCGGGAGAAGGCACGCUGAUAUGUAGGUGAAGUGAUUUACUCAUGGAGCUGAAAUCAGUCGAAGAUACCAGCUGGCUGCAACUGUUUAUUAAAAACACAGCACUGUGCAAACACGAAAGUGGACGUAUACGGUGUGACGCCUGCCCGGUGCCGGAAGGUUAAUUGAUGGGGUUAUCCGUAAGGAGAAGCUCUUGAUCGAAGCCCCGGUAAACGGCGGCCGUAACUAUAACGGUCCUAAGGUAGCGAAAUUCCUUGUCGGGUAAGUUCCGACCUGCACGAAUGGCGUAAUGAUGGCCAGGCUGUCUCCACCCGAGACUCAGUGAAAUUGAACUCGCUGUGAAGAUGCAGUGUACCCGCGGCAAGACGGAAAGACCCCGUGAACCUUUACUAUAGCUUGACACUGAACACUGGUCCUUGAUGUGUAGGAUAGGUGGGAGGCUUUGAAGUGUGGACGCCAGUCUGCAUGGAGCCAACCUUGAAAUACCACCCUUUAAUGGCUGGUGUUCUAACGUAGACCCGUAAUCCGGGUUGCGGACAGUGUCUGGUGGGUAGUUUGACUGGGGCGGUCUCCUCCUAAAGAGUAACGGAGGAGCACGAAGGUUAGCUAAUCCUGGUCGGACAUCAGGAGGUUAGUGCAAAGGCAUAAGCUAGCUUGACUGCGAGAGUGACGGCUCGAGCAGGUGCGAAAGCAGGUCUUAGUGAUCCGGUGGUUCUGAAUGGAAGGGCCAUCGCUCAACGGAUAAAAGGUACUCCGGGGAUAACAGGCUGAUACCGCCCAAGAGUUCAUAUCGACGGCGGUGUUUGGCACCUCGAUGUCGGCUCAUCACAUCCUGGGGCUGAAGUAGGUCCCAAGGGUAUGGCUGUUCGCCAUUUAAAGUGGUACGCGAGCUGGGUUUAGAACGUCGUGAGACAGUUCGGUCCCUAUCUGCCGUGGGCGCUGGAGAAUUGAGGGGGGCUGCUCCUAGUACGAGAGGACCGGAGUGGACGCAUCACUGGUGUUCGGGUUGUCAUGCCAAUGGCAUUGCCCGGUAGCUAAAUGCGGAAGAGAUAAGUGCUGAAAGCAUCUAAGCACGAAACUUGCCCCGAGAUGAGUUCUCCCUGACCCUUUAAGGGUCCUGAAGGAACGUUGAAGACGACGACGUUGAUAGGUCGGGUGUGUAAGCGUAGCGAUACGUUGAGCUAACCGAUACUAAUGAACCGUGAGGCUUAACCUU